RNAcentral lists this ribosomal RNA (352 nucleotides) under uncultured bacterium. Its description in RNAcentral is "bacterial SSU rRNA". It matches the Rfam family "Bacterial small subunit ribosomal RNA", at positions 976 to 1326 of the family's 1533-position model. The record is from RNAcentral.
AGCCCUUGACAUACCAAUCGCGAUUUCCUGAGAAGGAUUUCUUCAGUUCGGCUGGAUUGGAUACAGGUGCUGCAUGGCUGUCGUCAGCUCGUGUCGUGAGAUGUUGGGUUAAGUCCCGCAACGAGCGCAACCCUCGCCUUUAGUUGCCAUCAUUUAGUUGGGCACUCUAGAGGAACUGCCGGUGAUAAGCCGGAGGAAGGUGGGGAUGACGUCAAGUCCUCAUGGCCCUUAUGGGCUGGGCUACACACGUGCUACAAUGGCGAUGACAGAGGGUCGCAAGCCAGCGAUGGUGAGCUAAUCUCUAAAAGUCGUCUCAGUUCGGAUAGCAGUCUGCAACUCGACUGCUUGAAGC